Molecule: long non-coding RNA, 144 nt
Organism: Cucurbita moschata (crookneck pumpkin)
Lineage: Eukaryota; Viridiplantae; Streptophyta; Magnoliopsida; Cucurbitales; Cucurbitaceae
Exons: 3
Source: RefSeq, a predicted model, not a curated record
CAAAUGGUCUCUUGGGAUUUGACACAGCUCUGACCAGGUAGUCAAGUUCCUUCUGCAUAAGGAAACCAGCAACAAAAGAUUUCAAGUACUUAGCCACACUUAGCCACACCCUCUAUGGAAGCGUGGGCCCUCCAUAUACUCUGC